GUCAAAAAAAAUGAGAUUUUUCAAACAUGUUGUAAAAACAUGCCAUAUGAUGAAAUAAUGUAAAGGAGGCCAUGAAAAACACUCCAGAAAGGUUUUCUUUGAAAAAAAAAUCAUCAAGAAUUUUGGCACAAAAAAAUGCCUUACUAUACUAUGUUGAAAAAAAUGGUAUUUUUCAAACAUGUUGUAAAAACGUGCCAUAUGAUGAAAUGAUGUAAAGGAGGCCGUGAAAAACACUCCAGAAAGGUUUUCUUUGAAAAAAAAAUCAUUAUGAAUUUUGGUGCAAAAAAACGCCUUACUAUACUAUGUCGAAAAAAAAUGCGAUUUUUCAAACAUGUUGUAAAAACGUGCCAUAUGACGAAAUAAUAUAAAGGAGGGCGUGAAAAACACUCCAGAAAGGUUCUCUUUGGAAAAAAAAAAUCAUUAUGAAUUUUGGCGCAAAAAAAACGCCUUACUAUACUAUGUAAAAAAAAAUGGGAUUUUUCAAACAUGUUGUAAAAACGUGCCAUAUGAUGAAAUAAUGUAAAGGAGGCCAUGAAAAACACUCCAGAAAGGUUUUCUUUGACAAAAAAAUCAUCAAGAAUUUUGGCACAAAAAAACGCCUUACUAUACUAUGUUAAAAAAAAUGGUAUUUUUCAAACAUGUUGUAAAAACGUGCCAUAUGAUGAAAUAAUGUAAAGGAGGCCGUGAAAAACACUCCAGAAAGGUUUUCUUUGAAAAAAAAAAAUCAUUAUGAAUUUUGGCACAAAAAAACGCCUUACUAUACUAUGUCGAAAAAAAGUGCGAUUUUUCAAACAUGUUGUAAAAACGUGCCAUAUGACGAAAUAAUGUAAAGGAGGCUGUGAAAAACACUCCAGAAAGGUUUUCUUUGAAAAAAAAAUCAUCAAGAAUUUUGGCACAAAAAAACGCCUUACUAUACUAUGUCGAAAAAAAAAGGUAUUUUUCAAACAUGUUGUAAAAACGUACCAUAUGAUGAAAUAAUGUAAAGGAGGCCGUGAAAAACACUCCAGAAAGGUUUUCUUUGAAAAACAAAUCAUUAUGAAUUUUGGCGCAAAAAAACGCCUUACUAUACUAUGUCGAAAAAAAAUGCCAUUUUUCAAACAUGUUGUAAAAACGUGCCAUAUGAUGAAAUAAUGUAAAGGAGGCCAUGAAAAACACUCCAGAAAGGUUUUCUUUGAAAAAAAAAUCAUUAUGAAUUUUGGCGCAAAAAAACGCCUUACUACACUAUGUCGAAAAAAAAUGCGAUUUUUCAAACAUGUUGUAAAAACGUGCCAUAUGACGAAAUAAUGUAAAGGAGGCUGUGAAAAACACUCCAGAAAGGUUUUCUUUGAAAAAAAAAUCAUCAAGAAUUUUGGCACAAAAAAACGCCUUACUAUACUAUGUCGAAAAAAAAAGGUAUUUUUCAAACAUGUUGUAAAAACGUACCAUAUGAUGAAAUAAUGUAAAGGAGGCCAUGAAAAACACUCCAGAAAGGUUUUCUUUGAAAAAAAAAUCAUUAUGAAUUUUGGCGCAAAAAAACGCCUUACUAUACUAUGUCAAAAAAAAAUGCGAUUUUUCAAACAUGUUGUAAAAACGUGCCAUAUGAUGAAAUAAUGUAAAAGAGGCCGUGAAAAACACUCCAGAAAGGUUUUCUUUGAAAAAAAAUCAUCAUGAAUUUUGGCGCAAAAGAACGCCAUGGUAUACUAGGUCGAAAAAUGUCAUUUUUCAACACUAAAACUUAUUGAAAAAUAGGUUUUACUUAAGUCCACCUGUUUCAACCAUCUCUACCCCUCAUUAGGUACCACUCUAAGGUACAUUAUACAACAAAAAGUCCAGUAGAUGUCACUUGUGUUUUGAAAUAGCAUGCAGAGCAAGUUAGUCUGCUCACAGGAAGUUAACACGAGCAAAAUCAUUCCUCACGAGGCCUCUAUUUGCUGUGAUUUUCAAAGGUAAAGUAAUACUUUUGACAUAUUAUGGCGCCUAAGGAGUUGCUGAAAACAAAUGUGUCAUUUAAAUGUUAAAAAAAAAAAAAAAAAAAGAUUUAAAAGGGUAAAAUAAUGUUUCUCAACCGUUUGGUAGUGGUCAAUAUUUUAAAAAUCACUGGGUCUCUUCAUAAAAAAAACAUUGAUUG
Amphiprion ocellaris (clown anemonefish) is the source of this 2107-nucleotide long non-coding RNA. Lineage: Eukaryota; Metazoa; Chordata; Actinopteri; Pomacentridae. The record is from Ensembl.